GACGAACGCUGGCGGCGUGCUUAACACAUGCAAGUCGAGCGGUAAGGCCCUUUCGGGGGUACGACGAGCGGCGAACGGGUGAGUAACACGUGGGUGACCUGCCCUCAGCUCUGGGAUAAGCCUGGGAAACUGGGUCUAAUACUGGAUAUGACUCCACGGUGCAUGUCGUGGGGUGGAAAGCCUUGUGCGGCUGAGGAUGGGCCCGCGGCCUAUCAGCUUGUUGCUGGGGUGAUGGCCUACCAAGGCGACGACGGGUAGCCGGCCUGAGAGGGCGACCGGCCACACUGGGACUGAGACACGGCCCAGACUCCUACGGGAGGGCAGCAGUGGGGAAUCUUGCGCAAUGGGCGAAAGCCUGACGCAGCGACGCCGCGUGAGGGAUGACGGCCU
This 390-nucleotide ribosomal RNA is filed under the name uncultured bacterium. RNAcentral describes it as "bacterial SSU rRNA". It matches the Rfam family "Bacterial small subunit ribosomal RNA", at positions 28 to 417 of the family's 1533-position model. The record is from RNAcentral.